This 299-nucleotide long non-coding RNA is filed under the name Carica papaya (papaya). RNAcentral describes it as "long non-coding RNA (CPAP_LNC005220)". The record is from RNAcentral. Lineage: Eukaryota; Viridiplantae; Streptophyta; Magnoliopsida; Brassicales; Caricaceae.
UUUUUUCCUUUCUGCCUUCAUCCAUCAUUCUCUCAGGAGAAUACCGGCUCAACUCUAGAAACUUUUGGGCAUAUUUUGAUACAGUUAUGUCACCUUGGACCAGGUGUGCAAACUCUAUUUCCUUUAUAUGUCAGAGAUGCUCUGGGAGGUACUUUGCAUUAAAGGCCAUCAAGAAUUGUUCCCAAGUGACUGGAAUGGGCAGGGUGGCCUACUUGAGUUACCACCAGCGGCUUGUCUCUCCCACCAGCAUGUAGGUGGCAAGUAUGACUCUCUAUUCGGGAAUCACCCCAAAAGCGUGA